RNAcentral lists this ribosomal RNA (1512 nucleotides) under Salmonella enterica subsp. enterica serovar Enteritidis. RNAcentral's name for it is "bacterial SSU rRNA". It matches the Rfam family "Bacterial small subunit ribosomal RNA". Lineage: Bacteria; Pseudomonadati; Pseudomonadota; Gammaproteobacteria; Enterobacterales; Enterobacteriaceae. The record is from RNAcentral.
GGCAGGCCUAACACAUGCAAGUCGAACGGUAACAGGAAGCAGCUUGCUGCUUCGCUGACGAGUGGCGGACGGGUGAGUAAUGUCUGGGAAACUGCCUGAUGGAGGGGGAUAACUACUGGAAACGGUGGCUAAUACCGCAUAACGUCGCAAGACCAAAGAGGGGGACCUUCGGGCCUCUUGCCAUCAGAUGUGCCCAGAUGGGAUUAGCUUGUUGGUGAGGUAACGGCUCACCAAGGCGACGAUCCCUAGCUGGUCUGAGAGGAUGACCAGCCACACUGGAACUGAGACACGGUCCAGACUCCUACGGGAGGCAGCAGUGGGGAAUAUUGCACAAUGGGCGCAAGCCUGAUGCAGCCAUGCCGCGUGUAUGAAGAAGGCCUUCGGGUUGUAAAGUACUUUCAGCGGGGAGGAAGGUGUUGUGGUUAAUAACCGCAGCAAUUGACGUUACCCGCAGAAGAAGCACCGGCUAACUCCGUGCCAGCAGCCGCGGUAAUACGGAGGGUGCAAGCGUUAAUCGGAAUUACUGGGCGUAAAGCGCACGCAGGCGGUCUGUCAAGUCGGAUGUGAAAUCCCCGGGCUCAACCUGGGAACUGCAUUCGAAACUGGCAGGCUUGAGUCUUGUAGAGGGGGGUAGAAUUCCAGGUGUAGCGGUGAAAUGCGUAGAGAUCUGGAGGAAUACCGGUGGCGAAGGCGGCCCCCUGGACAAAGACUGACGCUCAGGUGCGAAAGCGUGGGGAGCAAACAGGAUUAGAUACCCUGGUAGUCCACGCCGUAAACGAUGUCUACUUGGAGGUUGUGCCCUUGAGGCGUGGCUUCCGGAGCUAACGCGUUAAGUAGACCGCCUGGGGAGUACGGCCGCAAGGUUAAAACUCAAAUGAAUUGACGGGGGCCCGCACAAGCGGUGGAGCAUGUGGUUUAAUUCGAUGCAACGCGAAGAACCUUACCUGGUCUUGACAUCCACAGAAGAAUCCAGAGAUGGAUUUGUGCCUUCGGGAACUGUGAGACAGGUGCUGCAUGGCUGUCGUCAGCUCGUGUUGUGAAAUGUUGGGUUAAGUCCCGCAACGAGCGCAACCCUUAUCCUUUGUUGCCAGCGGUUAGGCCGGGAACUCAAAGGAGACUGCCAGUGAUAAACUGGAGGAAGGUGGGGAUGACGUCAAGUCAUCAUGGCCCUUACGACCAGGGCUACACACGUGCUACAAUGGCGCAUACAAAGAGAAGCGACCUCGCGAGAGCAAGCGGACCUCAUAAAGUGCGUCGUAGUCCGGAUUGGAGUCUGCAACUCGACUCCAUGAAGUCGGAAUCGCUAGUAAUCGUGGAUCAGAAUGCCACGGUGAAUACGUUCCCGGGCCUUGUACACACCGCCCGUCACACCAUGGGAGUGGGUUGCAAAAGAAGUAGGUAGCUUAACCUUCGGGAGGGCGCUUACCACUUUGUGAUUCAUGACUGGGGUGAAGUCGUAACAAGGUAACCGUAGGGGAACCUGCGGUUGGAUCACCUCCUUACCUUAAAGAA